CUGGAAAGAGGGAUUAAUCACGAUUCAUCCGUUGGAGUUAAGAGCAGCGGCGUAAAAGACGUCCUCGCUGUACCUGGGUCCAUCAGGUCCUCCAGAGGCGUGAGCAGUUUGGUGAGUUUCACCAUUUGCUCCAGGAGCCAGUUUGAGGACCUGCUUUCCCUCGUCGGUCCCAGCAUCGCCCGCCUAGACACCAACUACAGGCGCUCAAUCCCACCUGCAGAGCGCCUGUCCGUCUGCCUGAGGAUUUCAACGUGAUGGAAGCUGAAGAGCUUGAGAGGAUGGAUUUGGCGUGUUUAUAAAAUAAUCCAUGAAGGAGCACAGCCUGAUGACUCCCUUGAAGAUGUUGGCAUCAUUAUCGAGAGAUGCACCGUCUUGCAGGAUCUUCACGAUGUGGCGAGCGGGUGUGCACUUUUGUUUGGGCUAAUUUACUGCCUCAAUCUGAGUUACCCAAAGCCACUUCGCUACACAUUUGAGUUCUUCCAGAAGGUGCUCAUGGGACUGGAAGACAAAAAACUGUCUAACAAAAUACAAGUGCUGAAGAACAAACUCUGCCAAAAGGAGACGCAAUGACUCUUUCUUUUUUUUUUUGUAUUUACACUUCAUAUUAGUUCUGGUGUACCAGGUUUCCAUUGUAGGUCAAGGAUCUUGAGUGUUAUAAAUGUUAAAGUGUAUGUGCAAACAAAUGUGAAAAGGUUCUAAGGUUGUCACCUGUACUCAAGUUAAGUACUGGAUUUUUGGUCUUAGCAUUUAAUUAAGAAUAUUUUGAGAUUUUUGAUGCAUUUUUUUUAUUGUAAAAUGUAUUAUAUAAUAGAAAACUUAUAAUUCUGAAUCAGAUUUUUGUAACUGGGGACUAAAUCGUUUUUACCUUUUUG
Long non-coding RNA from Astatotilapia calliptera (eastern happy), 872 nucleotides. Lineage: Eukaryota; Metazoa; Chordata; Actinopteri; Cichliformes; Cichlidae. The record is from Ensembl.